This 22-nucleotide non-coding RNA is filed under the name Arabidopsis thaliana (thale cress). The record is from RNAcentral. Lineage: Eukaryota; Viridiplantae; Streptophyta; Magnoliopsida; Brassicales; Brassicaceae.
UCGUGGUAUGUCUAACGUCUCA